GCAUGAAACUUUAGUUCUACACAAUGUCCAUCUUCCUUCUCUAGCAUCUGUUCAGGUUUCUCAAUGUUGACUUGCUUUUCAAUUUUCAAUUCCCAGGAGUGUCGUGACUAUUCAAGCAUAGCAAGCAGGUGGUUUGACGGUUUAAUCAGUAAAGACAUUCAAAUGGCCAAUGAAGUUUUCUCCAUUCACACCAUUGAUUUUGACCGGCAACUCUUGACACCAUAGACCAUUUGAUGGUUUUCCACACACGGUAACGCAUGGCAUGUAGUUAACAUUUGCACAACUCUAUAGUUGGUCGGGCUAAUUCAUCGCUUCAACGGGUACGACAAUUGUUGGGUGAUAUGACGACCUGCAUUUUAAAUGGCUCAUUUUCUUAGCACUCAUGAAGAUUAAUUAGAUUUUUAGGUACUCGGUGUGUAUAUAUUCAUAGACUAGAUUCUGUAUCAUAUAGGAGCAAGGGCUCAUCUUUUACAGCUUGAAAUCUUAAUAGAACGCGUUUACUUUA
Eucalyptus grandis is the source of this 505-nucleotide long non-coding RNA. RefSeq lists it as uncharacterized. Lineage: Eukaryota; Viridiplantae; Streptophyta; Magnoliopsida; Myrtales; Myrtaceae. The record is from RefSeq and is a predicted model, not a curated record. The transcript is spliced from 2 exons.